RNAcentral lists this ribosomal RNA (454 nucleotides) under uncultured bacterium. RNAcentral describes it as "partial 16S ribosomal RNA". It matches the Rfam family "Bacterial small subunit ribosomal RNA", at positions 28 to 507 of the family's 1533-position model. The record is from RNAcentral.
GAUGAACGCUGACAGAAUGCUUAACACAUGCAAGUCAACUUGAACUUCGGUUUGGGUGGCGGACGGGUGAGUAACGCGUAAAGAACUUGCCUCACAGUUAGGGACAACAUUUGGAAACGAAUGCUAAUACCUGAUAUUAUGAUUUUAGGGCAUCCUAGAAUUAUGAAAGCUAUAUGCGCUGUGAGAGAGCUUUGCGUCCCAUUAGCUAGUUGGAGAGGUAACGGCUCACCAAGGCGAUGAUGGGUAGCCGGCCCGAGAGGGUGAACGGCCACAAGGGGACUGAGACACGGCCCUUACUCCUACGGGAGGCAGCAGUGGGGAAUAUUGGACAAUGGACCAAGAGUCUGAUCCAGCAAUUCUGUGUGCACGAUGAAGUUUUUCGGAAUGUAAAGUGCUUUCAGUUGGGAAGAAAAAAAUGACGAUACCAACAGAAGAAGUGACGGCUAAAUACGUG